RNAcentral lists this ribosomal RNA (253 nucleotides) under uncultured bacterium. Its description in RNAcentral is "partial 16S ribosomal RNA". It matches the Rfam family "Bacterial small subunit ribosomal RNA", at positions 524 to 776 of the family's 1533-position model. The record is from RNAcentral.
UACAUGGGGUGCAAACGUUGCUCGGAAUCAUUGGGCGUAAAGCGCGCGUAGGCGGUUACUUAAGUCGAAUGUGAAAGCCCUCGGCUUAACCGAGGAAGUGCAUCCGAAACUGAGUAGCUAGAGUACGAAAGAGGGUCGCGGAAUUCCCGGUGUAGAGGUGAAAUUCAUAGAUAUCGGGAGGAACACCGGUGGCGAAGGCGGCGACCUGGGUCGAGACUGACGCUGAGGCGCGAAAGCGUGGGGAGCAAACAGG